Oreochromis aureus is the source of this 113-nucleotide long non-coding RNA. RefSeq lists it as uncharacterized. NCBI's taxonomy places the organism in Eukaryota, Metazoa, Chordata, Actinopteri, Cichliformes, Cichlidae. The record is from RefSeq and is a predicted model, not a curated record. The transcript has 3 exons.
AUCGCUGCAGACAGUCCAAGUAUUCCUGCUUCACCAGGUCGAUCCAGUCUGAGAGUCACAGUCCGGGCUCCUCCACAAAUCAUGGAGUCAACCAGGAUGAAACUCAUGUGUAC